Oreochromis aureus is the source of this 604-nucleotide long non-coding RNA. NCBI's taxonomy places the organism in Eukaryota, Metazoa, Chordata, Actinopteri, Cichliformes, Cichlidae. The record is from Ensembl.
UUUUGAGGGUAGAAAGAAAGUUUUCAGAAGACAAAAGAAAAGAGAAAAGAAAUGAGGGAACAAGAAUAUUCAGAGAACUUGGAAGCAAAUGGAUAAAAAUCAGGAAACAAAAUGGAUUAAACUGAAUCUAAAGGUCAUGUGAUCAGCAGACUAAGCAGAGAUGCCCAGACCUCCCCUUUCUCCACAUCCAAUUCUUCAUGGGUGAUGACCAAGGCAGCCGACAGCGUAUACAGCAAAAGGAUCCAUCCACGAGUGUCUCAAAAGCUAGCACACCGAAAGGAAAUUACACUGUUUACUUUUCUGCCCUUCAAAUAGUGGCUGUGUGUUUGGGACGAUUGUCCUGCUGAAACGUCCACCUUUGUUCCAUCUUCAUCCUCCUGGUAGAUGGCUGCAAGCAUGUCUUGGCACAUUUUCCCAUUCAUCCUUCCUUCAAUUAUAUGAAGCAUGCCAGUGCAGUAUGCUGACAAAGCACCAUAAUACUUUAGAAAUUAUUCUUUAUAUUUUCAGUAAAAAGCUGCAAAGGUCUUGAUAGAGCUCACUGGCUUUACCCAUCAUGAGAUGUUUCUUGUGUGACACCCUGGUAAUGAGACACCUUUUCAUAGGC